Long non-coding RNA from Sorex araneus (European shrew), 691 nucleotides. RefSeq lists it as uncharacterized. Lineage: Eukaryota; Metazoa; Chordata; Mammalia; Eulipotyphla; Soricidae. The transcript has 2 exons. The record is from RefSeq and is a predicted model, not a curated record.
GGUCGUAAUCAAGCUCUUCCCGAGCUGGGCAAUCAGCAGCCGCCUCCCCUGAGGAGGAGGACCCUGUGGCAACAGUGAUUUCAGAAAAUCUCCCUUCAAGGGCCUCAUCAGCGGAGUGUCCCCAUCUCCUGGGACAUGAUACUAAGAACCACCACCACAAGAACCAUGUAGUCAGCCGGCACCAUCCUGAAAACAAAGAGCCCACCAGUGGCUGUGCUUAACAGAAGAGACCCCAGAGCCAUCCUGGCAUAAAGAGUAGGCCACUCUCCAGCACCAUUUCUAGCUCUUGACAGAGGUGUUUUUUUUUUUUAAUUCUUUUAUUGAAUCACCAUGUGGAAAGUUACAAAGCUUUCAGGUUUAAGUCUCAGUUAUACAAUCACAUGCCUAUUGUCCUUUCAUAUGACUUCAUUGGGGUGGCGUCUGUUAAUCUCUUCUACCCAUUUUUGCAUGAAGUUGCUGGAUUUUUAUUUGUUGAAUUUUUGAGUGCCUCUUAUAUCUUAAAUAUGAACUUUUAUCUAAUAUGUUGUGUGCAAAUAUUUUGUCCCAUUUAGUAGGAGGUAUUUUUAUUUUAGUUUGACAUUGUUUUGAUGUGCAGGAGAUUUUUUUAUUUGAUGCAGUGUCAUUUGUUUAUUUUUGUUUGGUUUUCUUUGCCUCUGUGGUCACCUCAUUAAAUCCACCUACAAGGUCUGUU